Molecule: transfer RNA, 89 nt
Organism: Gloeophyllum trabeum ATCC 11539
Lineage: Eukaryota; Fungi; Basidiomycota; Agaricomycetes; Gloeophyllales; Gloeophyllaceae
Rfam family: tRNA
About the family: Transfer RNA (tRNA) molecules are approximately 80 nucleotides in length.
Source: Rfam
GGACCCUUAGCUCAAUCGGUAGAGCUUUGUACUUAUGUGGAUGCAAUCCCUCAAUGCAAGGGUCCCGAGUUCGAUUCUCGGAGGGUCCA